Molecule: ribosomal RNA, 516 nt
Filed under: uncultured bacterium
Lineage: Bacteria
Description: bacterial SSU rRNA
Rfam family: Bacterial small subunit ribosomal RNA
Source: RNAcentral
CGGCAUGCCUAAGACAUGCAAGUCGAACGAGACGACCUUAGGAAAACUGAGUGCUUGCACGAAGUUGGAAUGAGAGUCAUCGUCUAGUGGCAGACGGGUGAGUAACACGUGGGUAACCUACCUAGAAGUUGGGGAUAACAGUUGGAAACGACUGCUAAUACCGAAUAAGAUAUUCGUAUUGAAAGAAGCCCUUAAAGCUUCACUUUUUAGAUGGGCCUAGCGGUCGUAUUAACUAGUUGGUGAGGUAAUGGCUCACCAAGGUAACGAUGCGUAGCCGAACUGAGAGGUUGAACGGCCACACUGGGACUGAGACACGGCCCAGACUCCUACGGGAGACAGCAGUUACGGAAUAUUCGUCAAUGGGGGAAACCCUGAACGAGCAAUGCCGCGUGAGUGAUGAAAGGCCCUAUGGGUUGUAAAACUCUGUUGUAUGGGAAGAACGGCUAUAUUAGGAAAUGAAUAUAGAGUGACGGUACCAUACGAGAAAGCUCCGGCUAACUACGUGCCAGCAGCAGC